GGUUAAGUUAGAAAGGGCGCACGGUGGAUGCCUUGACACUAGGAGUCGAUGAAGGACGGGACUAACACCGAUAUGCUUCGGGGAGCUGUAAGUAAGCUUUGAUCCGGAGAUUUCCGAAUGGGGAAACCCACCAUACGUAAUGGUAUGGUAUCCUUACCUGAAUACAUAGGGUAAGGAGGACAGACCCAGGGAACUGAAACAUCUAAGUACCUGGAGGAAGAGAAAGCAAAUGCGAUUUCCUGAGUAGCGGCGAGCGAAACGGAACAUAGCCCAAACCAAGAGGCUUGCCUCUUGGGGUUGUAGGACAUUCUAUACGGAGUUACAAAGGAACGAGGUAGACGAAGCAGUCUGGAAAGGCUCGUCAUAGAAGGUAACAACCCUGUAGUUGAAACUUCGUUCCCUCUUGAAUGAAUCCUGAGUACGGCGGAACACGUGAAAUUCCGUCGGAAUCUGGGAGGACCAUCUCCCAAGGCUAAAUACUCCCUAGUGAUCGAUAGUGAACCAGUACCGUGAGGGAAAGGUGAAAAGCACCCCGGGAGGGGAGUGAAAGAGAUCCUGAAACCGUGUGCCUACAAAUAGUCAGAGCCCGUUAACGGGUGAUGGCGUGCCUUUUGUAGAAUGAACCGGCGAGUUACGAUCCCGUGCGAGGUUAAGCUGAAGAGGCGGAGCCGUAGCGAAAGCGAGUCUGAAUAGGGCGUUUAGUACGUGGUCGUAGACCCGAAACCAGGUGAUCUACCCAUGUCCAGGGUGAAGUUCAGGUAACACUGAAUGGAGGCCCGAACCCACGCACGUUGAAAAGUGCGGGGAUGAGGUGUGGGUAGCGGAGAAAUUCCAAUCGAACCUGGAGAUAGCUGGUUCUCCCCGAAAUAGCUUUAGGGCUAGCCUCAAGUGUAAGAGUCUUGGAGGUAGAGCACUGAUUGGACUAGGGGUCCUCAUCGGAUUACCGAAUUCAGUCAAACUCCGAAUGCCAAUGACUUAUCCUUGGGAGUCAGACUGCGAGUGAUAAGAUCCGUAGUCAAAAGGGAAACAGCCCAGACCGCCAGCUAAGGUCCCAAAGUGUGUAUUAAGUGGAAAAGGAUGUGGAGUUGCUUAGACAACUAGGAUGUUGGCUUAGAAGCAGCCACCAUUUAAAGAGUGCGUAAUAGCUCACUAGUCGAGUGACUCUGCGCCGAAAAUGUACCGGGGCUAAAUACACCACCGAAGCUGCGGAUUGAUACCUUUGGUAUCAGUGGUAGGGGAGCGUUCUAAGGACAGUGAAGUCAGACCGGAAGGACUGGUGGAGUGCUUAGAAGUGAGAAUGCCGGUAUGAGUAGCGAAAGACGGGUGAGAAUCCCGUCCACCGAAUGCCUAAGGUUUCCUGAGGAAGGCUCGUCCGCUCAGGGUUAGUCAGGACCUAAGCCGAGGCCGACAGGCGUAGGCGAUGGACAACAGGUUGAUAUUCCUGUACCACCUCUUUAUCGUUUGAGCAAUGGAGGGACGCAGAAGGAUAGAAGAAGCGUGCGAUUGGUUGUGCACGUCCAAGCAGUUAGGCUGGUAAGUAGGCAAAUCCGCUUACCGC
This 1558-nucleotide ribosomal RNA is filed under the name Bacillus cytotoxicus. RNAcentral's name for it is "partial 23S ribosomal RNA". It matches the Rfam family "Bacterial large subunit ribosomal RNA", at positions 1 to 1552 of the family's 2925-position model. The record is from RNAcentral. Lineage: Bacteria; Bacillati; Bacillota; Bacilli; Caryophanales; Bacillaceae.